Molecule: ribosomal RNA, 512 nt
Filed under: uncultured bacterium
Lineage: Bacteria
Description: partial 16S ribosomal RNA
Rfam family: Bacterial small subunit ribosomal RNA
Source: RNAcentral
GACGAACGCUGGCGGCGUGCCUAAUACAUGCAAGUCGAGCGAGCGAAACUAACAGAUUUACUUCGGUAAUGACGUUAGGAAAGCGAGCGGCGGAUGGGUGAGUAACACGUGGGGAACCUGCCCCAUAGUCUGGGAUACCACUUGGAAACAGGUGCUAAUACCGGAUAAGAAAGCAGAUCGCAUGAUCAGCUUUUAAAAGGCGGCGUAAGCUGUCGCUAUGGGAUGGCCCCGCGGUGCAUUAGCUAGUUGGUAAGGUAAAGGCUUACCAAGGCGAUGAUGCAUAGCCGAGUUGAGAGACUGAUCGGCCACAUUGGGACUGAGACACGGCCCAAACGCCUACGGGAGGCAGCAGUAGGGAAUCUUCCACAAUGGACGCAAGUCUGAUGGAGCAACGCCGCGUGAGUGAAGAAGGUUUUCGGAUCGUAAAGCUCUGUUGUUGGUGAAGAAGGAUAGAGGUAGUAACUGGCCUUUAUUUGACGGUAAUCAACCAGAAAGUCACGGCUAACUACGUG